UAAACGCUGGCGGCGUGCAUUAGACAUGCAAGUCGAACGAACGACCUCGGGCUUGCCCGGGGAAGUUAGUGGCGAACGGCUGAGUAACGCGUAGGUGACCUGCCCUGAAGUGGGGAAUAACUGCCCGAAAGGGUGGCUAAUACCGCAUACGGUCAUGAGUUCAGUCUCAUGACCAAAGCCUUUGGGCGCUUUUGGAGGGGCCUGCGUUCGAUUAGCUCGUUGGUGAGGUAACGGCUCACCAAGGCGACGAUCGAUAGGUGGUCUGAGAGGAUGAUCACCCAGACUGGGACUGAGACACGGCCCAGACAACUACGGUUGGCAGCAGUCGGGAAUUUUGCUCAAUGGGGGAAACCCUGAAGCAGCAACGCCGCGUGAGGGAUGAAGGCCUUCGGGUUGUAAACCUCUUUUCUCAGGGACGAUAAUGACGGUACCUGAGGAAUAAGCCACGGCUAACUAC
RNAcentral lists this ribosomal RNA (457 nucleotides) under uncultured bacterium. Its description in RNAcentral is "bacterial SSU rRNA". It matches the Rfam family "Bacterial small subunit ribosomal RNA", at positions 30 to 504 of the family's 1533-position model. The record is from RNAcentral.